RNAcentral lists this ribosomal RNA (395 nucleotides) under uncultured Oscillospiraceae bacterium. Its description in RNAcentral is "bacterial SSU rRNA". It matches the Rfam family "Bacterial small subunit ribosomal RNA", at positions 355 to 765 of the family's 1533-position model. Lineage: Bacteria; Bacillati; Bacillota; Clostridia; Eubacteriales; Oscillospiraceae. The record is from RNAcentral.
UGGGGAAUAUUGGGGCAAUGGGCGCAAGCCUGACCCAGCAACGCCGCGUGAAGGAAGAAGGCUUUCGGGUUGUAAACUUCUUUCUCAGGGAAGAUGAACAGACUGUACCUGAGGAAUAAGCCACGGCUAACUACGUGCCAGCAGCCGCGGUAAUACGUAGGUGGCAAGCGUUGUCCGGAUUUACUGGGUGUAAAGGGCGUGUAGGCGGGACGGCAAGUCAGGCGUGAAAACCAUGGGCUCAACCCAUGGCCUGCGUUUGAAACUGUUGUUCUUGAGUACUGGAGAGGUUGGCGGAAUUCCUAGUGUAGCGGUGAAAUGCGUAGAUAUUAGGAGGAACACCAGUGGCGAAGGCGGCCAACUGGACAGCAACUGACGCUGAGGCGCGAAAGCGUGGG